UACGUAGGGUGCGAGCGUUAAUCGGAAUUACUGGGCGUAAAGCGUGCGUAGGUGGUUCGUUAAGUCUGAUGUGAAAGCCCUGGGCUCAACCUGGGAAUGGCAUUGGAAACUGGCGACCUAGAGUGCGGUAGAGGGUAGUGGAAUUCCCGGUGUAGCAGUGAAAUGCGUAGAGAUCGGGAGGAACAUCCGUGGCGAAGGCGACUACCUGGACCAGCACUGACACUGGGGCACGAAAGCGUGGGGAGCAAACAGG
This 253-nucleotide ribosomal RNA is filed under the name uncultured bacterium. Its description in RNAcentral is "partial 16S ribosomal RNA". It matches the Rfam family "Bacterial small subunit ribosomal RNA", at positions 524 to 776 of the family's 1533-position model. The record is from RNAcentral.